This 241-nucleotide unclassified non-coding RNA is filed under the name Hevea brasiliensis (rubber tree). The record is from RNAcentral. Lineage: Eukaryota; Viridiplantae; Streptophyta; Magnoliopsida; Malpighiales; Euphorbiaceae.
GGUGGUUCUCCUUGUUCUAGCUCAUUUAUAAUUCGGAUGGAUGAGUAUAACCACUGGCGCUCAGUGCAUUCAUCCUAAGUGGGGUACAAUAUGAAUUCCCAUCCUCUUCAUAGUUAAGCCAACUCAUAUAAGAAUAACUGAAUUCCUUUUAAAUUUUUAUGUGAGAUGUAUGUAUUCUCGAAGUAAUCAUUUUGCUUAGGCAACUAAGAGGUAGUAUAUACUUAAAAUGGCAUCGAGGCAA